This 443-nucleotide ribosomal RNA is filed under the name uncultured bacterium. RNAcentral's name for it is "bacterial SSU rRNA". It matches the Rfam family "Bacterial small subunit ribosomal RNA", at positions 29 to 456 of the family's 1533-position model. The record is from RNAcentral.
AACGAACGCUGGCGGCGUGGAUAAGACAUGCAAGUCGAACGGGAACUUCAGCUGUAGCAAUACAGUUGAAGUUUUAGUGGCGAACGGGUGCGUAACACGUGGGCAAUCUGCCGAGAAGUGGGGGAUAGCUCGCCGAAAGGCGAAUUAAUACCGCAUAUGAUCAGCUAAGACAUCUUAGCGACAUCAAAGCCGGGGCAACCUGGCGCUUUUUGAGGAGCCCGCGGCCUAUCAGCUAGUUGGUGAGGUAACGGCUCACCAAGGCUAUGACGGGUAGCUGGUCUGAGAGGACGACCAGUCACACUGGAACUGAGACACGGUCCAGACACCUACGGGUGGCAGCAGUCGAGAAUUUUUCUCAAUGGGGCAACCCUGAAGGAGCGACGCCGCGUGGAGGAUGAAGGUCUUCGGGUUGUAAACUCCUGUCAUUUGGGAACAAGCUGCAC